AGAGACGAAACAGUGAUGUGGAGUAAAACUUAAUAAAAGACGACCUCAGUUCGGAUUGAAGGCUGAAAUUCGCCUUCAUGAAGUCGGAAUUGCUAGUAAUGGCAGGUCAGCAUACUGCCGUGAAUACGUUCCCGGGCCUUGUACACACCGCCCGUCACACCAUGAGAGUUGGGGAUACCCGAAGCCUGUGAGCCAACUUUUUAAGAGGCAGCAGUCGAAGGUAGAAUCAAUGAUUGGGGUGAAGUCGUAACAAGGUAGC
RNAcentral lists this ribosomal RNA (259 nucleotides) under uncultured bacterium. RNAcentral's name for it is "partial 16S ribosomal RNA". It matches the Rfam family "Bacterial small subunit ribosomal RNA", at positions 1245 to 1500 of the family's 1533-position model. The record is from RNAcentral.